This 730-nucleotide ribosomal RNA is filed under the name uncultured bacterium. RNAcentral's name for it is "bacterial SSU rRNA". It matches the Rfam family "Bacterial small subunit ribosomal RNA", at positions 771 to 1501 of the family's 1533-position model. The record is from RNAcentral.
AACAGGAUUAGAUACCCUGGUAGUCCAUGCCGUAAACGAUGAGUGCUAGGUGUUGGAGGGUUUCCGCCCUUCAGUGCCGGAGCUAACGCAUUAAGCACUCCGCCUGGGGAGUACGACCGCAAGGUUGAAACUCAAAGGAAUUGACGGGGGCCCGCACAAGCGGUGGAGCAUGUGGUUUAAUUCGAAGCUACGCGAAGAACCUUACCAGGUCUUGACAUCUUGCGCUAACCUAAGAGAUUAGGCGUUCCCUUCGGGGACGCAAUGACAGGUGGUGCAUGGUCGUCGUCAGCUCGUGUCGUGAGAUGUUGGGUUAAGUCCCGCAACGAGCGCAACCCUUGUUACUAGUUGCCAGCAUUCAGUUGGGCACUCUAGUGAGACUGCCGGUGACAAACCGGAGGAAGGUGGGGACGACGUCAGAUCAUCAUGCCCCUUAUGACCUGGGCUACACACGUGCUACAAUGGUCGGUACAACGAGUCGCUAACCCGCGAGGGCAAGCUAAUCUCUUAAAGCCGAUCUCAGUUCGGACUGUAGGCUGCAACUCGCCUACACGAAGUCGGAAUCGCUAGUAAUCGCGGAUCAGCAUGCCGCGGUGAAUACGUUCCCGGGCCUUGUACACACCGCCCGUCACACCAUGGAAGUUUGUAACGCCCAAAGUCGGUGGCCUAACCAUUUGGAGGGAGCCGCCUAAGGCGGGACAGAUGACUGGGGUGAAGUCGUAACAAGGUAACC